GGAGUUAUGAAAUGUAAGUUUGAGAAUAUCGGAUUUACUUGACAAAAGCUCCAGAGGAAGCCACGGCUAACUCUGUGCCAGCAGCCGCGGUAAUACAGAGGUGGCAAGCGUUGUUCGGAAUUAUUGGGCGUAAAGAGCACGUAGGUGGAUUUGUAAGUCAGAUGUGAAAGCCUUCUGUUCAACGGAAGAAUUGCAUCUGAAACUGCAAAGCUUGAGUGUAGGAGGGGAGAGUGGAACUUCUG
RNAcentral lists this ribosomal RNA (242 nucleotides) under uncultured Planctomycetales bacterium. RNAcentral describes it as "partial 16S ribosomal RNA". It matches the Rfam family "Bacterial small subunit ribosomal RNA", at positions 439 to 672 of the family's 1533-position model. The record is from RNAcentral. Lineage: Bacteria; Pseudomonadati; Planctomycetota; Planctomycetia; Planctomycetales.